RNAcentral lists this ribosomal RNA (585 nucleotides) under uncultured bacterium. RNAcentral's name for it is "bacterial SSU rRNA". It matches the Rfam family "Bacterial small subunit ribosomal RNA", at positions 338 to 916 of the family's 1533-position model. The record is from RNAcentral.
CCUACGGGAGGCAGCAGUGGGGAAUUUUGGACAAUGGGGGCAACCCUGAUCCAGCCAUGCCGCGUGCGGGAAGAAGGCCUUCGGGUUGUAAACCGCUUUUAGCCGGGAAGAAAAGGCGGGGGCUAACACCCCUCGUUCUUGACGGUACCGGCGGAAUAAGCACCGGCUAACUACGUGCCAGCAGCCGCGGUAAUACGUAGGGUGCGAGCGUUAAUCGGAAUUACUGGGCGUAAAGCGUGCGCAGGCGGUUCGUUAAGUCUGAUGUGAAAGCCCCGGGCUCAACCUGGGAAUGGCAUUGGAAACUGGCGGGCUGGAGUGUGGCAGAGGGGGGUGGAAUUCCGCGUGUAGCAGUGAAAUGCGUAGAGAUGCGGAGGAACACCGAUGGCGAAGGCAGCCCCCUGGGCUGACACUGACGCUCAGGCACGAAAGCGUGGGGAGCAAACAGGAUUAGAUACCCUGGUAGUCCACGCCCUAAACGAUGGUCACUGGGUGUUCGGGGAGCGAUCUCUGAGUACCGUAGCUAACGCGUGAAGUGAUCCGCCUGGGGAGUACGGUCGCAAGAUUAAAACUCAAAGGAAUUGACGG